UUUCCGUAGGUGAACCUGCGGAAGGAUCAUUAACGAGUUUUGACUGGGUUGGAGCUGGCCUUUCGAGGCAUGUUCACGCCCUGCUCAUACACACUUCACCUGUGCACUUAUAGUGGGUAUUAGUUCUUAAACCGUGCUCUUUUAUAGCAGCUUGUGUAGCGUGUCUAUUUCUGCGUUUAUCAAAAACUCUAUAGAGUAUCAGAAUGUGUAUUACGAUGUAACGCAUCUAUAUACAACUUUCAGCAACGGAUCUCUUGGCUCUC
RNAcentral lists this unclassified non-coding RNA (263 nucleotides) under plant metagenome. RNAcentral's name for it is "partial contains small subunit ribosomal RNA, internal transcribed spacer 1, and 5.8S ribosomal RNA". The record is from RNAcentral.